This 330-nucleotide ribosomal RNA is filed under the name Pseudo-nitzschia multiseries. Its description in RNAcentral is "LSU rRNA". It matches the Rfam family "Eukaryotic large subunit ribosomal RNA", at positions 207 to 544 of the family's 3401-position model. The record is from RNAcentral. Lineage: Eukaryota; Bacillariophyta; Bacillariophyceae; Bacillariales; Bacillariaceae.
AGAGGGUGACACUCCCGUCCGCCUGGCAGAGUGAGUCAUUUGUCGUACGAGUCGAGUUGUUUGGGAUUGCAGCUCUAAUUUGGUGGUAAAUUCCAUCUAAAGGCUAAAUAUUGGUGGGAGACCGAUAGCGUACAAGUACCGUGAGGGAAAGAUGCAAAGGACUUUCGAAAAGAGAGUUAAAGAGUAACCUGAAACUGCUGAAACGGAAGCGAAGGAAACCAGUAGUUUGUUUGUUCAUAUUUCCCUAGCCACUUGUGGCUUGGGCGCUGUGGGCUUGCGUGAGUUUGGGUGGUUGAUUCCUUUGGAAGAGCGCAGUCAGAGUUGAUGUCU